RNAcentral lists this ribosomal RNA (253 nucleotides) under uncultured bacterium. RNAcentral's name for it is "partial 16S ribosomal RNA". It matches the Rfam family "Bacterial small subunit ribosomal RNA", at positions 524 to 776 of the family's 1533-position model. The record is from RNAcentral.
UACGUAGGGUGCGAGCGUUGUCCGGAAUUACUGGGCGUAAAGAGCUCGUAGGCGGUUUGUCGCGUUGUUCGUGAAAACUCACAGCUUAACUGUGGGCGUGCGGGCGAUACGGGCAGACUGGAGUGCUGCAGGGGAGACUGGAAUUCCUGGUGUAGCGGUGGAAUGCGCAGAUAUCAGGAGGAACACCGGUGGCGAAGGCGGGUCUCUGGGCAGUAACUGACGCUGAGGAGCGAAAGCGUGGGGAGCGAACAGG